Molecule: ribosomal RNA, 493 nt
Filed under: uncultured bacterium
Lineage: Bacteria
Description: bacterial SSU rRNA
Rfam family: Bacterial small subunit ribosomal RNA
Source: RNAcentral
AAAGGAAUAGACGGGGGCCCGCACAAGCAGCGGAGCAUGUUGCUUAAUUCGAGGCAACGCGAAGAACCUUACCUGGGUUUGACAUGUAGAGAAAAGCCGUAGAGAUACGGUGUCCUUCGGGGCUCUACACAGGUGGUGCAUGGUUGUCGUCAGCUCGUGUCGUGAGAUGUUGGGUUAAGUCCCGCAACGAGCGCAACCCUUGUCCUAUGUUGCCAGCACGUAAUGGUGGGGACUCGUAGGAGACUGCCGGGGUCAACUCGGAGGAAGGUGGGGACGAGGUCAAAUCAUCAUGCCCCUUAUGUCCAGGGCUGCAAACAUGCUACAAUGGCCGGUACAACGGGCUGCGAGACCGCGAGGUUUAGCGAAUCCCACAAAGCCGGUCUAAGUUCGGAUUGGAGUCUGCAACUCGACUCCAUGAAGCUGGAGUUGCUAGUAAUCCCGGAUCAGCAACGCCGGGGUGAAUACGUUCCCGGGCCUUGUACACACCGCCCGU